Molecule: non-coding RNA, 101 nt
Filed under: Paenibacillus sp.
Lineage: Bacteria; Bacillati; Bacillota; Bacilli; Caryophanales; Paenibacillaceae
Description: Guanine sequence
Rfam family: Purine riboswitch aptamer
About the family: Riboswitches are metabolite binding domains within certain messenger RNAs that serve as precision sensors for their corresponding targets. Allosteric rearrangement of mRNA structure is mediated by ligand binding, and this results in modulation of gene expression. A class of riboswitches that selectively recognises guanine and becomes saturated at concentrations as low as 5 nM.
Source: RNAcentral
UGCAAAUUUUCAUAGGUUUCUCGUAUAUGUGCAGGAAUGGGCCUGCAUGUCUCUACCCGAUCACCGGAAAUGAUCGGACUACGGGAAUAACAAGCAACCCG